CGUAGGUGGGAUCUUAAGUCAGCGGUGAAAGUUUGUCGCUUAACGAUAAAAUUGCCAUUGAAACUGGGGUUCUUGAGUAUGUUUGAAGUAGGCGGAAUGCGUGGUGUAGCGGUGAAAUGCAUAGAUAUCACGCAGAACUCCGAUUGCGAAGGCAGCUUACUAAACCAUAACUGACACUGAAGCACGAAAGCGUGGGUAUCAAACAGGAUUAGAUACCCUGGUAGUCCACGCUGUAAACGAUGAUUACUAGUUGUUUGCGAUACACAGUAAGCGACACAGCGAAAGCGUUAAGUAAUCCACCUGGGGAGUACGCCGGCAACGGUGAAACUCAAAGGAAUUGACGGGGGCCCGCACAAGCGGAGGAACAUGUGGUUUAAUUCGAUGAUACGCGAGGAACCUUACCCGGGUUUGAACGCAUUGGGACCGGGGUGGAAACACCCUUUCUAGCAAUAGCCCUUUGCGAGGUGCUGCAUGGUUGUCGUCAGCUCGUGCCGUGAGGUGUCGGCUUAAGUGCCAUAACGAGCGCAACCCUUAUUGUUAGUUACCAGCAUGUAAUGAUGGGGACUCUAACAAGACUGCCGGCGUAAGCUGUGAGGAAGGUGGGGAUGACGUCAAAUCAGCACGGCCCUUACAUCCGGGGCGACACACGUGUUACAAUGGCGAGGACAAAGAGCCGCUACCUAGCGAUAGGAUGCUAAUCUCCAAACCUCGUCUCAGUUCGGAUCGGAGUCUGCAACUCGACUCCGUGAAGCUGGAUUCGCUAGUAAUCGCGCAUCAGCCAUGGCGCGGUGAAUAC
RNAcentral lists this ribosomal RNA (796 nucleotides) under uncultured Bacteroidota bacterium. RNAcentral describes it as "bacterial SSU rRNA". It matches the Rfam family "Bacterial small subunit ribosomal RNA", at positions 570 to 1369 of the family's 1533-position model. Lineage: Bacteria; Pseudomonadati; Bacteroidota. The record is from RNAcentral.